CUCGGGUAUUAAAGCAUUGCGAUCGCUUCACACUCUGACAUCCGUAGCCGCAGGAUGGAAUUCUGCAGCAGAUUUACGACAAAUACAUGAGCUGGCUUUGUAACCAUUCUCCAACGAGCGGAUUAUUGAUCUACUUUUUUAUCAAGUCUGAUAUCUGGGCACGAUCAGGAUACGAGGGAAGGGAAUAUUCCAGAUGUUUUUCAUUCGGUUUGUUUGUGAAUUUGUGUCAAUCCAGAAUAAACUCCAGACAGGAAAGCUAAACAUUUCUUAAGCUAAGCAAAGCCGGAGACAGGAGGUUUCUCACGUUUCUUAUGCGUACUUGCUGAAAAGGGCUCAUGAGACCUCUCCAAAGCUAACAGACAGAAUAAUCCACAUGUAAACACGCCUCCUGGCCUCUUGGCCUCCUGGUCCGGGGCCCUGCAGAUGGGAAGACGCUCAUCGUUACACCGGGAGCUGCAGCAGCGGCUGGAGGAGGAAUUUAAUGCUGGUUUAUGAUUAAUGCUGGUGCUGAAGGAGAUGAAAAGCGAUGUCACGGGGCACAGACAUGAUAAUCAGGCAGCGAUGAAGGACGUCCUGACCAUGCGGAGGACUCAGAGAACAGCUUUGAUGUCUUAAAUGAAGACGAACGGUUAGAGUGACUUUGGCGUGAAGGGAGAACGAGAUCGCCUCGUAAAUCUCUGUCGUUAUAAAUUCAUACGGUCACGUGAUCACAUGACCAACGACGAUCCGCCGGACACGGAAAGACGAAGGGAGAGCGGACAAGGAUUUGUACAUCCUCUGUGACAUUUCAUUUCUGUUUCCUUUUUAGGUAAUAUUUUCUCACUGCUAUGCUAAUCACAUCCAUCAGCGUUUGCAUCCGAAAUCCCUGACUUCUCGUCCUAAAAUGAUCCAAGUCUCACUUUUUAAACACAUGCACUGAAAUAGUAAAACAGGCCAAAGAUUAAAAUAUCACCUACGAAUAUAUGAAUAUGCAAAUGAGGCAGUGCCUCCUGGUGGUCCAGCUUAUUGAUGCGGCCCAGGUUCAAUUCCCAGGUAGGGAGCUAACCCAGCCACUGACGAGUUAACUCUCAGCUUCCUGUUUGGUGACCCCAAACAGGAAGCAGCCGAAAAAACAACAACAACAUGUGAAUAUGCAAAUGAGGAACUUCCCCAUGUCAUGGAAGCUUCUUUAAUUAUUGAAUAAAUUGCUAGUUAUCUAGAACGAGUCAUCAUCAUUACGGCGCCGUUCUCACAUCAAUUCACUUAACAGCUGUCUGAAUUUGGUUCGUUGUUACCAUGACGACGACGACACAAUCCAUUUAAACAUUAAAACACUAACAUUAAAGUUAGAGAGCUACACAAAGUUGAUUAUUUUUCAAUAACAGCAGUAUCUAUUUUGCUCUUCACAGCAAUUUGCCAACAAUGAGAAUAUUUUAUUUCUUAUACAAAAACUCGUCGUAGUUUUUAUCCAUUUAUAGCUACACUUUUAACCCUAUUCGUUAUAGAACAUUGUGUUAUAGAAACCUUCAAUGGAUGUUAAUGGUUCUUCAUAGAACCAUCCACUCUGACACAGAAGCUUUUGAGAACCUGCGUGUGGAAUGUUUCCAUCGCAUACGAGGUUCUUUGUAGCGGAAAAAUGUUUUAGACUAUAGAAUGUUCUUUAUGGCAUCAAGAAAAAAUGUUUCUUUACUGAAAGGUUCUUUAGGGAACCAAAAAAUGGUUCCUCUACAGCAUUACUGCAAAAAAAACCCUUUUUGGUUCUUCCUGAAACACCUCCACACACGUCUAUCAAGUCUUUCUACAUCUGUCAUUACUCAAGCCGAGGGGUGUGGCCAAAAAAAUCAUCUUUUGUUAACUCCUUCUUCUCUUCCUCAUGUUCAAAUAGCGCCAGUUUAACAUCUGAUACUUAUUACAUUUACAUUUCUGGCAUUUAGCCGACGCCCUUGUCCAGGGCAACUUAUACAACUGAGUAGUUGAGGCUCAAGGGCCCAGCAGUGGCAGCUUGGUAUACUUAUGUUUAUACUUAUAGUUAUACUUAUGUUUAUUCUAUUUGCACUACCUCAACUGCUGCUGUGUAUUUUUGCACAAUAUUUUUGCACAAUACUUUUUUUUUCUACAUCAUUUCACUUUAUCUAUUUUAUUUCACUUACAUUCCAGUACACGUUCUUUUAUUUCCUUUCAACGCUAAGUGUCCUGUGUUCUUUUGUGUUGUCUUUAUUGUAUUUAUUGUCUUUUUUGCACUGUCUUGUCUAUGCUCUGUUUGCACCUAGCUGCACACUGUGCACUUUACGUGGCUAAGACAAACUUCUGUCCUAGCUCUGUGGUGGUGUUUGUUGUUUUUGUAUUGUACUAGUAGUUGUAUGUUUAUGUAGCACCAGGUCCUGGAGAAACGUUGUUUCAUUUCACUAUGUACUGCGCCAGCUAUAUGUGGUUGAAAUGACAAUAAAAGCUUCUUGAAUCUUGAAUCUU
Molecule: long non-coding RNA, 2448 nt
Organism: Hemibagrus wyckioides
Lineage: Eukaryota; Metazoa; Chordata; Actinopteri; Siluriformes; Bagridae
Exons: 3
Source: RefSeq, a predicted model, not a curated record